UUUGAUCAUGGCUCAGAUUGAACGCUGGCGGCAGGCCUAACACAUGCAAGUCGAACGGUAACAGGAAGCAGCUUGCUGCUUUGCUGACGAGUGGCGGACGGGUGAGUAAUGUCUGGGAAACUGCCUGGUGGAGGGGGAUAACUACUGGAAACGGUAGCUAAUACCGCAUAACGUCGCAAGACCAAAGAGGGGGACCUUCGGGCCUCUUGCCAUCGGAUGUGCCCAG
Molecule: ribosomal RNA, 226 nt
Filed under: Escherichia coli
Lineage: Bacteria; Pseudomonadati; Pseudomonadota; Gammaproteobacteria; Enterobacterales; Enterobacteriaceae
Description: partial 16S ribosomal RNA
Rfam family: Bacterial small subunit ribosomal RNA
Source: RNAcentral